RNAcentral lists this ribosomal RNA (639 nucleotides) under Salmonella enterica subsp. enterica serovar Oslo. RNAcentral describes it as "partial 23S ribosomal RNA". It matches the Rfam family "Bacterial large subunit ribosomal RNA", at positions 699 to 1251 of the family's 2925-position model. The record is from RNAcentral. Lineage: Bacteria; Pseudomonadati; Pseudomonadota; Gammaproteobacteria; Enterobacterales; Enterobacteriaceae.
GUUGCAGGGUAUAGACCCGAAACCCGGUGAUCUAGCCAUGGGCAGGUUGAAGGUUGGGUAACACUAACUGGAGGACCGAACCGACUAAUGUUGAAAAAUUAGCGGAUGACCUGUGGCUGGGGGUGAAAGGCCAAUCAAACCGGGAGAUAGCUGGUUCUCCCCGAAAGCUAUUUAGGUAGCGCCUCGUGAAUUCAUCUCCGGGGGUAGAGCACUGUUUCGGCUAGGGGGCCAUCCCGGCUUACCAACCCGAUGCAAACUGCGAAUACCGGAGAAUGUUAUCACGGGAGACACACGGCGGGUGCUAACGUCCGUCGUGAAGAGGGAAACAACCCAGACCGCCAGCUAAGGUCCCAAAGUCAUGGUUAAGUGGGAAACGAUGUGGGAAGGCCCAGACAGCCAGGAUGUUGGCUUAGAAGCAGCCAUCAUUUAAAGAAAGCGUAAUAGCUCACUGGUCGAGUCGGCCUGCGCGGAAGAUGUAACGGGGCUAAACCAUGCACCGAAGCUGCGGCAGCGAACGUAUCACCCAAGACAACUUUACGGAGUUGACGAUUGACGGAGCGAAGCGACGUCAAAGCGUUCAUUAAAGUCGAGUUGGCUUAGGGAUACGUUCGUUGGGUAGGGGAGCGUUCUGUAAGCCUG